AUAACAAAGUUGAUUGCAGAUGAAGAGAUACAAAAUAAAAUCACUUCUGAGAUUACUGUUUACAUGAAAGCUGAGGGACUUUUUGGACUGCUACUAGCAAUUAGGCAAAGAAAUACAAGGGCACCAAGUAAUUUACAAUUUCACGGUAUUGUCUAUUCAUAAUUUAUUUUUACCAUAACUUGAUGGCUAAUUAGUUCAAAACUUCAAAUGCAUAGCUGAUUGGUGGGUUGCAUAUGGUUCUACGACGCCUAAUUUGCAAAAGUUUGCGAUAAGAGUUCUUAGCCUUGCAUAUAGUUCUUCCGGUUGUGAACGGAAUUGGAGUGUAUUUGAACAUCUCCAUAGCAAAAAAAGAAAUAGGCUCCAGCAAAAACGCCUCAAUGACUUGGUGUUUGUCAAGUAUAACAGGGCACUAAAACGUCGAUAUGAUAUGCGAGAUACAAUUGAUCCCAUUUCUUUGACAAAUGUUGAUGAAAGCAAUGAGUGGUUGCGUGGGAGGAUGGAUGGAGAAUCUAAUGAAGAUAAUGAGCAGGUGUUUGGUGAUGAUAGUUUAACGUGGACUGAUGUUGCUAGAGCUUCUGGAGCGUUAGAGAGUUCCCAUGUAACUAGAGCUACAACAUCAAGAGCACGAGCAAGGAGUGCCACAUCCAAUCCAAUUCAUUUGGUAGAUGAAGAAGAGGCGGGUUCCGAAGCGACGGAAGAAGAGGAAGAUGACGAGGGAUACAAAUCCGUUGGUGAAGAAGAAGAAGAUGAUGACGAUUUUCUUGGUGUUGAUAUGGACGAUGAUUAGUAAACUAAAUCUUCCUUAGGAUGAUCGAAGUGCAACUAGGAAAAGUACUUGGAUGCUUGUCUUUUAUUGAUUUUGACGUUUUAGUUUUUCUCUAUUCGAGAUCGGUGGCUAUUUGACAUUUCAUAAAUAUUUUUAUGUAUCUUUUGGAUGGUAAACUCAUUGGCUUAGUGCUUAUUACUUGAAAUAUUUGUGUGCGCUAUUUUUUUCUAUUUUUUUCCGCAUAGAUGCGCCUCGCUUCAAAAAGGCGCGCCCCUCACCUUGCGCCUCUCGCCUCAGGCCCAACAGGACUUUGCGCCUCGGUGCGCUUUUCGCCCAUGACAACUAUGGGCUAGAAUGAGGGGUUGGAUGUUUGAUGAUUGAAGGAGGAAGAACAAUUGUGCUCUUGGAUGCCUUUGUAUCUCUUUAAUUGGCUUAAAAGAGUACAAAGUGGCAACCUUUUGAAAAUGAAUUUUUGCAAGCCUUUGAAUUUUUUGAACCCUUUUUCAAAGACUUGGAACCCUUUUAAUGGAUGAACCAUGGGGGGUAUAUAUAGGGAGAGAUGAGAUAGGUAUGGAGCUUAGCCAGUCCACGAGGCCGGCUAAAGGUUACUUGGUGGUUAAGCUUACCAAUCCAUAAAGGUGAUGGAGACAGGUUUUGACCGGCGCGCGCGGGUUGCGCUCCGACGCGCGCGGGUCAACGGUCAAGCUUUGACUGUUGACCACACCUGACAGCUUGACCCGCGCGCGCGGUUUUAGGAGCAGCGCGCGUAUGUACCACCUACUUACGCAUUGGUCAACGGUCAAAGCUACCUACUCACGCGUUGGUCAACGGUCAAGCUUUGACCAUUGACCAACACCUGUCAAGUUGAUCUGCACGCGCAAGCUCUCAACCAACGCGUGCCAGUAAGGUUUUUGGCUUUUGAAUUGGCUUCGAUUGGGUUCAGGGGUUUUUCAAACACUCAAAGCUCAAACACUUCCCGGGGUGUUUUUGAUCUGUUUCAUCAUUGGAGAAUAAAAAAUCGAAAGUAAACUAAUCUGGAAGCCCAGAUUGGGGUGUCUAUAGGUGGUAAAAAGCAUGUUGGCCGGCGAUCACUAGGCCCAUCUCGCCGAAGCCUUCAAGAUUCUCAAAACUCAUAAGCUCCGUCUCAACGCAGAAAAGUGUGCCUUAGGUGUCAGCUUCGGAAAGUUUCUUGGCCACCUCGUCUCCCGACGCGGUAUUGAAACCGACCCUGCUCAGCUGCUUGCCAUUGAGAAGCUCUCGGCUCCCCACAACAAGAGGGACGUCCAACGUCUCACUGGCAUGGCCGC
This is a long non-coding RNA of Rhododendron vialii, 2073 nucleotides long. RefSeq lists it as uncharacterized. The transcript has 2 exons. NCBI's taxonomy places the organism in Eukaryota, Viridiplantae, Streptophyta, Magnoliopsida, Ericales, Ericaceae. The record is from RefSeq and is a predicted model, not a curated record.